RNAcentral lists this small RNA (676 nucleotides) under Pongo abelii (Sumatran orangutan). RNAcentral describes it as "processed transcript". Lineage: Eukaryota; Metazoa; Chordata; Mammalia; Primates; Hominidae. The record is from RNAcentral.
GCGCAGGGUCCGCGGCUGCAAAGUGUGAAUUACGCCGGGCUCGCGCCGGCGGCGGAGUGAAGUCAGGCUUCGGGGGAGGGGAGGGGCAGGACUCCGGCGGCGGCGGCGGCGGCGGCCCGAGCUGGUCGCUGCUCACGAGUCCCGCGCGCCCUCGGUCUGGCCGCUGGCUCCAGCUGUCUUUUCUUGCACCACAUUGCUCCGUCCGUGCUCCGCUCGAACUCUGCAGUCCGGGCCGGUCCCCCAGCACGUCCUCAGCCGCCGAGGAGCCAUCAGCUUCAGCUCAAGCUCCGCGCUCUUCGGCUGCCCCAAUCCCCGGCAGCUCUCUCAGAGGCGUGGAGCUAUUUCCUAUGACAGUUCUGAUCAGACUGCAUUAUAUAUUCGUAUGCUAGCAUGAAGGAAUGGCCACAGGACAGGUGACUAGUCAUUGUGGGAUGGAAUUAUAGUCGAUGAAGUGAGCCUUGGAGGAAGUCAUGGUCCUACUGAGAGAAACAGAGAGAUGUACGUGUAAGGAGCCGAGCAGGAUUUGAAUCAGAAAGAAGAGGUUCUCACCCAUAUAUUGAUUUUCGUAUUUUCCACUCUCAAUCUGAAAUUGAAGUGUCUGUCUCUGCAAGGAAUAUCAGAAGGCUACUAAGUUUCCAGCGAUAUCUUAGAUCUUCACGCUUUUUUCGUGGUACUG